Molecule: ribosomal RNA, 322 nt
Filed under: uncultured eukaryote
Lineage: Eukaryota
Description: partial 18S ribosomal RNA
Rfam family: Eukaryotic small subunit ribosomal RNA
Source: RNAcentral
CCCUUAGAUGUUCUGGGCCGCACGCGUGCUACACUGAGUGGAUCAGCGGGUCAGGUUGCGCGAAAGUGUUUCCUAAUCUUGAAAUCCGCUCGUGAUGGGGAUUGACGGUUGCAAUUUUCCGCCAUGAACGAGGAAUACCUUGUAAGCGCGGGUCAUCAUCCCGCGCUGAAUACGUCCCUGCCCUUUGUACACACCGCCCGUCGCUCCUACCGAUUGAGUGGUCCGGUGAGGCUUUGGGAUCUGAGCGGAAAGAGCGUUUCGCUGUUUCUGCUCGGAAAACUCAGUCGAACCUUAUCAUUUAGAGGAAGGAGAAGUCGUAACA